GGGGGUGAGCAAUGGGGUCCCAGGGCUGUGGGGUCCUGCUGCUGCAGCCGCUCUGUGGGGCAGGGAUGAGGGGGUCACAGGUCAUGGGGUCACAGGUCAGGGGUCGUAGGUCAUGGGGUCACUGGGUGAGCAGUGGGGUCCCAGGGCUGCGCAGUCCUGCUGCUGCAGCUGCUCUGUGGGGUCAGAGGUCACGGGGUCAUAGGUCACAGGGUGAGCACAGGGGUGCCAGGGCUGUGGGGUCCUGCUGCUGCAGCCGCUCUAUGGGGCAGGGGUCAGGGGUCAGGGGUCAUGGGGUGAGCAGUGGGGUCACAGAGACGUGGGGUGAUGGGAACGCAGUGAGGGAUAUGGGCUGUGGGGUGGGGUCACGGGGUCACAGGGUCAGCAGGUCACGGGGUCAGGAGGUCACGGGGUCACAGGGUCAGGAGGUCAUGGGGUCACGGGGUCAGGAGGUCACGGGGUCAGGAGGUCGCGGGGUCGCGGGCGCCCACCCCUCAGUUUGCGCAGUGACGCCUCCACCUCCGUCUCAAUCAGCGGGAAGUCCUGCCGGCUGGGGCACCUGCGGGCACCCCAUAGCGCCCCAUAGCACCCCAUAGCGCCCCAUAGUGCCCCACAGUGCCCCAUAGCACCCCACAGAGCCCCACAGUGCCCCACAGCACCCUAUAGCGCCCCACAGCACCCCAUAGCGCCCCACAGUGCCCCAUAGCAUCCCACA
Molecule: long non-coding RNA, 712 nt
Filed under: Gallus gallus (chicken)
Lineage: Eukaryota; Metazoa; Chordata; Aves; Galliformes; Phasianidae
Description: lncRNA (ENSGALG00010028810.1)
Source: RNAcentral